CUAUACAUGACUCUGCGCAUAUCAAUAAGCGGAGGAAAAGAAACUAACAAGGAUUCUCCUAGUAACGGCGAGUGAAGCGGGAAGAGCUCAAAUUUGAAAUCUUAAAGGGUUUCCCUUUACGAAUUGUAGUUUAAAGAAGUGUUUUCUGUUGGAGUUUCGGUAAAAGUUCUUUGGAAUAGGACAUCAUAGAGGGUGAGAAUCCCGUAUUUGACCGUUACUUUCCAGCUGUGUGAUACACUUUCAAAGAGUCGGAUUGUUUGGGUAUGCAGUCCAAAAUGGGUGGUAAAUUUCAUCUAAAGCUAAAUAUUGGCGAGAGACCGAUAGCGAACAAGUACCGUGAGGGAAAGAUGAAAAGAACUUUGAAAGGAGAGUUAAACAGUACGUGAAAUUGUCAAAAGGGAAGCGUUUGACACCAGUGUUGUUUAGUUGAAAAUCAAUUCAAUAAUUUUUGAUUUUGAGUAGUAUUGACUUCAUCAGCUUGCUGCUUUCUUUUCGAAAAUUAUUGAAUGCACUUUUCAGUUAACAAGUCAACAUCAAUUUCUUUUGUUGUAAAAGGGUAAGAGGAAGGUGGCUUACGCUUCGGCGUAAGUGUUUAUAGCCAUUUACCUCUGCAAUCGGAGAGAUUGAGGUCAGCAGCGUAGACUCCUUCGGGGGUUAGAUACACUUGUGCUAAGCUAUAGCCUUGUAUAGACAACUUGUUGACUAUGCUCAGUCAUGUAGCUUACUCGCAUGUGCUAUUUUACCUACGCUUAGGAUGUUGAUAGUCACAGCGUGUAC
This 777-nucleotide ribosomal RNA is filed under the name uncultured Neocallimastigales. RNAcentral's name for it is "partial large subunit ribosomal RNA". It matches the Rfam family "Eukaryotic large subunit ribosomal RNA", at positions 22 to 630 of the family's 3401-position model. Lineage: Eukaryota; Fungi; Neocallimastigomycota; Neocallimastigomycetes; Neocallimastigales. The record is from RNAcentral.